CCCAAAACUCCAAGGACUUGACGGUGCCUCACACAACCUAGAGGAGCCUGUCCUAUAAUCGAUACCCCACGCUACACCCGACCCCCCCUAGCAAAACACAGCCUAUAUACCGCCGUCGUCAGUUAGCCUAAUGAUAGCCACAUAUAGCAAACAAAACAUUUUCAAUCACUAACACGCCAGGUCAAGGUGUAGCAAAUGGGGGGGCAGAGAUGGGCUACAUUCUCCAACCCCGAGCACACCAACAGCAACAUGAAACCACGCGCCAAAAGGUGGAUUUAGCAGUAAACCAAGCAAGCUAUGCCUGACUGAAGACAGCCCUGAGACGCGUACACACCGCCCGUCACCCUCAUCACCAGCAACAAGAACAAAACUAACCUUAAACCAAAAUUAUGCCACCAGAUGAGACAAG
RNAcentral lists this ribosomal RNA (409 nucleotides) under Sphaerodactylus fantasticus. RNAcentral's name for it is "partial 12S ribosomal RNA". Lineage: Eukaryota; Metazoa; Chordata; Lepidosauria; Squamata; Sphaerodactylidae. The record is from RNAcentral.